CCGGGUAUAGGUGCUGAACAAAGUGGGAAACAGCUUAUUUCUGACUCCAUUCUGACUUUUUGAAACUUAAGAUCUUUGGGAGGUGGGAAAAAAAAUCACAGGAUUCUGUGGGGAAAAAAGGCAGUCAGCAUAUUCUUUUUUUUUCAAAGAGUUACCACUGAAGCCUGUUGUCUAACCUAAAGGGCAGAGAAGAUAGUUAAGUAGUCCACAGAAUAUUCAGAUACUCCUUUUGUGGUCUUAACAGGUUGCAGAAGAGGAUUAAGGAUCAAUUUAAACAUCAGAGGUUCUGCCUGUAUCACAUAGUCUUGGUGCAAGACCGGAUGGGAUGAUGGGCACUAAAGUCCACAGUUUACUAGAUUUGAAUACUCUCCCUAAUCUCCUUCCUGGCUCCAGAAUCUUGAUUCCAGCUUGCUUGGAAUUUUUGUGUUGAUGUUUAGUUCCUGAUUGGCUUCAGCUGUACCAAUGGCAGGAGCGUAUCUUCUUUCCAGGCAGUCAUAAAAAGACGGUCAAAAGAACACAUAGUCUGUUGAAUUCCAUCUGUGGCUUAAAAAAGUUUAGAUACAAGUCCAGUAUCCUGUUAAUGCUUAUGCUGCUAUGCCAGGCACUACUAUCCUAAAUGUUCUUUGCGUCAUCAAGUUCAAAAAUAGCCCUUUUAUGCUGGGAAAAGUAGUAGUAUGUAACUUGUAAUAGACACCAUCAUCUUAGUAAAAUGCAGAUCAAUCUAGUCCUAACCUAGGACAAAAUAGAGGUUUGAAUGAAAUAACUUCUCUAAGUUCACAAAGUCAAAAAUGAACAGAUCUCAGGCUAGUUUUGUGAAAAAACCUAGCACUUGUAAAUAGAAUAUUAUUUAUAUUUCAACAUUUCUAAGAGGCAUUAGUAGAAUGCCUUCGGUCUAUUAUCAGUGAAGAUAGAAAGACAAGUACAGUUUCUUCACUCUAGUGGUUCAUAAUGUAGUGGGUGAGAGAGAAAUAAGGUUAUUUAUAUGAAGUACAAUAUGAUAGGAUUUACUACCAAGAUAAUACCAGGAUUCUAGAAGAAAAUAAAAAGGUGAUAGUUCAAUCAGAGAUAUGAACUUCCUUCCAGAGAAGCAAUGCUUAAACUGAAUUUAAGAGCAAUACGCAAAUGCACCAGGGAUAUAUAUUAUGGGCCAUCAGAACGUUGAUUGUUGUGAAAGCCACUUAGGAAGUGGUAUUUUAGACCAAGAAUACAAUAGCAUCCUCUUCAGAGACACAUGCAUAGCAUAGAAAGCCAAGGUAACUUACAAGUGAGGUCAGGUAGUCUUAGGAACUUUGC
Molecule: long non-coding RNA, 1293 nt
Filed under: Bos taurus (domestic cattle)
Lineage: Eukaryota; Metazoa; Chordata; Mammalia; Artiodactyla; Bovidae
Description: long non-coding RNA NONBTAT023672
Source: RNAcentral